RNAcentral lists this transfer RNA (85 nucleotides) under Candidatus Cloacimonadota bacterium. RNAcentral's name for it is "tRNA-Leu". It matches the Rfam family "tRNA". Rfam says of the family: Transfer RNA (tRNA) molecules are approximately 80 nucleotides in length. Their secondary structure includes four short double-helical elements and three loops (D, anti-codon, and T loops). The record is from RNAcentral. Lineage: Bacteria; Pseudomonadati; Candidatus Cloacimonadota.
GCGAAAGUGGCGGAACUGGCAGACGCGCUGGACUUAGGAUCCAGUGGGGCGACCCGUAGGGGUUCAAAUCCCCUCUUUCGUACCA